GUCGAGCGGAUGAAGGGAGCUUGCUCCUGGAUUCAGCGGCGGACGGGUGAGUAAUGCCUAGGAAUCUGCCUGGUAGUGGGGGACAACGUUUCGAAAGGAACGCUAAUACCGCAUACGUCCUACGGGAGAAAGCAGGGGACCUUCGGGCCUUGCGCUAUCAGAUGAGCCUAGGUCGGAUUAGCUAGUUGGUGAGGUAAUGGCUCACCAAGGCGACGAUCCGUAACUGGUCUGAGAGGAUGAUCAGUCACACUGGAACUGAGACACGGUCCAGACUCCUACGGGAGGCAGCAGUGGGGAAUAUUGGACAAUGGGCGAAAGCCUGAUCCAGCCAUGCCGCGUGUGUGAAGAAGGUCUUCGGAUUGUAAAGCACUUUAAGUUGGGAGGAAGGGUUGUAGAUUAAUACUCUGCAAUUUUGACGUUACCGACAGAAUAAGCACCGGCUAACUCUGUGCCAGCAGCCGCGGUAAUACAGAGGGUGCAAGCGUUAAUCGGAAUUACUGGGCGUAAAGCGCGCGUAGGUGGUUCGUUAAGUUGGAUGUGAAAUCCCCGGGCUCAACCUGGGAACUGCAUCCAAAACUGGCGAGCUAGAGUAUGGUAGAGGGUGGUGGAAUUUCCUGUGUAGCGGUGAAAUGCGUAGAUAUAGGAAGGAA
This 650-nucleotide ribosomal RNA is filed under the name Pseudomonas granadensis. RNAcentral's name for it is "bacterial SSU rRNA". It matches the Rfam family "Bacterial small subunit ribosomal RNA", at positions 61 to 706 of the family's 1533-position model. The record is from RNAcentral. Lineage: Bacteria; Pseudomonadati; Pseudomonadota; Gammaproteobacteria; Pseudomonadales; Pseudomonadaceae.